This 548-nucleotide ribosomal RNA is filed under the name uncultured bacterium. RNAcentral's name for it is "bacterial SSU rRNA". It matches the Rfam family "Bacterial small subunit ribosomal RNA", at positions 355 to 896 of the family's 1533-position model. The record is from RNAcentral.
UGGGGAAUAUUGGACAAUGGGGGCAACCCUGAUCCAGCCAUGCCGCGUGUGUGAAGAAGGCCUUAGGGUUGUAAAGCACUUUCAGUGGGGAGGAAAAGUUAACGGCUAAUACCCGUUAGCCCUGACGUUACCUACAGAAGAAGCACCGGCAAACUCCGUGCCAGCAGCCGCGGUAAUACGGAGGGUGCGAGCGUUAAUCGGAAUUACUGGGCGUAAAGGGUGCGCAGGCGGUUUGUUAAGACAGGUGUGAAAUCCCCGGGCUUAACCUGGGAAUUGCGCUUGUAACUGGCAGGCUAGAGUGUGGCAGAGGGGGGUGGAAUUCCACGUGUAGCAGUGAAAUGCGUAGAUAUGUGGAGGAACACCGAUGGCGAAGGCAGCCCCCUGGGUUAACACUGACGCUCAUGCACGAAAGCGUGGGGAGCAAACAGGAUUAGAUACCCUGGUAGUCCACGCCCUAAACGAUGUCAACUAGUUGUCGGGGAAGCAAUUCCUUGGUAACGAAGCUAACGCGUGAAGUUGACCGCCUGGGGAGUACGGCCGCAAGGUUA